GUGGGGAAUAUUGGACAAUGGGCGAAAGCCUGAUCCAGCCAUGCCGCGUGUGUGAAGAAGGUCUUCGGAUUGUAAAGCACUUUAAGUUGGGAGGAAGGGCAGUAAGUUAAUACCUUGCUGUUUUGACGUUACCGACAGAAUAAGCACCGGCUAACUUCGUGCCAGCAGCCGCGGUAAUACGAAGGGUGCAAGCGUUAAUCGAAAUUACUGGGCGUAAAUCGCGCGUAGGUGGUUUUGUAAGUUGGAGGUGAAAUCCCCGGGCUCAACCUGGGAACUGCCUCCAAAACUGCAUGACUAGAGUACGGUAGAGGGUAGUGGAAUUUCAUGUGUAGCGGUGAAAUGCGUAGAUAUAGGAAGGAACACCAGUGGCGAAGGCGACUACCUGGACUGAUACUGACACUGAGGUGCGAAAGCGUGGGGAGCAAACAGGAUUAGAUACCCUAGUAGUCC
RNAcentral lists this ribosomal RNA (450 nucleotides) under uncultured bacterium. Its description in RNAcentral is "partial 16S ribosomal RNA". It matches the Rfam family "Bacterial small subunit ribosomal RNA", at positions 354 to 796 of the family's 1533-position model. The record is from RNAcentral.